GGGGUCUUAAUUUGUUUGUCCUUUAAGAGUCUGCAAAAUUUCCGUGGACACCCAGACUAUAAAAAUGCUGGAGUUCCAGGAAACAUUUCCUUAAUGUUAAGCCUCUUGGUCUGGAAAAAAACCAGAUGUCCAGUACUUAUGAUUGAUGACCUGCCAUUGACGUUGAAUUUGGGCCAUUAAUACUGCCAAAUAAAUAUUGUUUUUAAAGCAAAUGAUGAUUUGACCAAAUCAAACUAGAGUCUCUGAAUGUACUGCUGAGACAUGUCAGAUCUGAAGCUUUGAAUAGUCAGUAUUGGUUACAAACUUUUACUUAUUUCUAGCUGACUGGCCUCUGAACUUAAAUUUGGGCCAGUACUUGUUAUAAAUUCAACACGCUUUGUGAUCAGAAAUGAUUUUGGUGCUUUGGCAGAGACUGGUAAAUUUAGGUUGUCACAGUAAAGUUUAGGACAUGAUUGCAUAAUGGCUGUUGUGUUUGCCUAGCGAUCAUGAUGUCUGUGGUCGAUCUAUUUUCUGGAAGCAAUCUUAACAUCAAAGAAUUCUUCCUGGAAAUACAUACUAUAUUAAGUGCUUCAUUCCACCUGGAAUAUCUUAUGCAAAGCCUUCUACCUGGGAUACAUACUGUAUAGAGUGCUUCAAUCCACGGGAGAUUUGUAUUCUAUUGAGUGCUUCAAUGUUUCAGUAUUUUUUUUUUUACGCAACACUUUCUGAUAUUGAUCUACAUGGCUCGAAAUUAACACUCGCACACUCGCAAAAUGCGAGUGAAAAAAACAGAUUGCGAGUUAAGUUUGAAGCCACUAGAAUUUUUUUGCGAGUGAAGAAAUAGUGAAAAAAAAGAGUUAUAUUGCUAAAUGCGCUCAAUGCUAAACCGCAGGUCAAUUAAUAGAACGUCCGAAUACUCAUAUGCGGAAGCUCGCACCUUGUAUGUAGACUGGUAUACUUAUAGUACAUAUAUGCGGAUGGUAUUGGUACAAAGAUAAUGAAACAGUCGAUUAUCCACACAUGUUCACUAUAAAAGACAAAAAACCUGAAUAGUCAUGUCGUCGAAGCGAAAUUUAACUAGUUUCUUUUUGCCCACAGAUUGAAAUAACAAUAAGAAAUAUAAAGCAAAGUUAACCGUUGAGAUGAGAGAAAAAAACGGAAAUUAAAUUCUUCCACAAAAACAGUGAAAAAGUGGGAAAAAGAACUUCAUAUAUAACACCAAAACUUGUGGUUGAUGUCAUAUUUUAUUUAGUUUUAAUAGUACUAAACUAAUGUCCAAACUUGCUUUUAUUUAUGUUUCCAGCAAAAUUUGCGAGAAUGUUUUUUGAUUUUGCGAGCUGGUAUUUAAGCUGCUCGCAAUGUUUUGCUAGUAGAAAGAAAAGUUAAAUUCCAGCCCUGACAGAUUUUUGGUAUGUGAGUCUACGUACAUGACCUGCAGAUAAAGUGUGAGCUUGGUUCUUGUUCAUUGAUUUUUGUUUAGUCUUGGGCCUUUGACUGAAAUUUUAUCUAUAAUAACCAUUUUCCGGAGUUUUUUUUACGAUAUGUCUUCGGAUAAUGUGCUGAUUUUGGUAUUUGAGCAAAAACAUCCCAUGUACACCAGGCGUACCAGAAAUUUUACAAUUUGGGUGGAAAAAGAAGGUUAUGGGGUUGGGGAACAAAGUAUUUAUUUGCUAAUGUUUAUAAGAAGAAAACCUGCUAAACAUGUCAAAACAAACUAAUCUUUCCAUGAAGUUAAUGAACAAUCUGUGUAUUAAAAGUAUUAAUAUCCAUGUAGACAGUGUAGUGUGCCUGGUUCGCCCAGGUACUCUCGCUGUCGUGUGGCGUAUGGGAGCUGAAUGUCCUGCUGGACUGGAGGUAUAUUCCCGUUCCACAUCAUGGUACAUCAACUGGACCCCUGUGGGUUCAGGCCGUGUAUAUUCCAGAACCUUCCUAGAGCUGCUAGUACAGCUAGAACUGGGGAGAUAAGCCAUACACGGAACACUUGCUUUCAUUGUCGGUAUUGUAAAGGGCUAAUUUGCAUAAAAUAAAAUUUAAAAUGUGGCAUUUUGCGCCUCCCAAAUAAGGCAAAAGGCAGUUUUCCCCCACAAGCUGAGUGCAAUGUGUUUGAGAGAGUUGAAAAUCUGCUGGCUUAUAAGAGUAUAUAUUAUUCCUUUCUUCUAUUUGACUUAAAAUUUAAGGCUCCUAUUUGGCCCGGUUCCCAAGGGAAAAAGUUUAUAUUUUUUCCAAAUGGGCCCUUAAAAUUCCCAUUUGAAGGUUAAAAAAAAUAAUAUUUUAUUAUAUAUUUUUGGAGCCCAAAAUUUAGAUCAUCUCCCAUCUAGCUCUAUAAGGGAAUAAAUAAAAAAUAACAUUUAUUCUCAAUUUUCAAGUAUUUCUGAGAGAAAAGUCAAAUAUACCAAUUCCGAAAAUUUAUUCCAAACUACGUGGUUUAUCCCAAUUCAAAUGGCCCAUUCCCAAAAUCCAUGAAGUUCAUACUGUAUGAGCAAUCUGUGUAUUAAAAGCCUAACCAUGUAUAUCCAUGUAGACAGUGUAGUGUGCCUGGUUCGCCCAGGUACUCUCGCUGUCGUGUGGCGUAUGGGAGCUGAAUGUCCUGCUGGACUGGAGGUAUAUUCCCGUUCCACAUCAUGGUACAUCAACUGGACCCCUGUGGGUUCAGGCCGUUUAUAUUCCAGAACCUUCCUAGAGCUGCUAGUACAGCUAGAACAAAGGAGACUAGCCAUACAUGGAACACUUGCUUUCAUUGUCGGUAUUGUAAAGGGCUAAUUUGCAUAAAAUAAAUUUAAAAUGUGGCAUUUUGCGCCUCCCAAAUAAGGCAAAAGGCAGUUUUUCCCCCACAAGCUGAGUGCAAUGUGUUUGAAAGAGUUGAAAAUCUGCUGGCUUAUAAGAGUAUAUAUUAUUCCUUUCUUCUAUUUGACAUUCUUUAUCAAAAGCUGAAGCUGUGGCAGUGUUGAUUUUUAACCAGGUUUUCCGAAGGAAAAAACUGGUUAUUAGAUUGGCGAAUGCGGGCGGGCUGGCUGGCGGGCGGGCGGAACAAGCUUGUCCGGGCCAUAACUAUGUCGUUCAUUGUCAGAUUUUAAAAUCAUUUGGCACAUUUGUUCACCAUCAUUGGACGGUGUGUCGCGCGAAAUAAUUACGUCGAUAUCUCCAAGUUCAAAGGUCUAAAAUGGCCAUAAAUGAGCUUGUCCUGGCCAUAACUAUGUCAUUCAUUGUAAGAUUUUAAAAUCAUUUGGCACAUUUGUUCACCAUCAUGGGACGGUGUGUCGCACGAAAGAAUCACGUCAAUAUCUCCAAUGUCAAGGUCGCCACGACUAAAAAUAGAUUUUUUUUAAAAACAAACUUACAAAGGGGGUUAAUUUUGUUUGUUCAUUUCAAAAGUUCAGUUUGAGUUUUCUCCCUUUAUCAGAUUUUUUUUUCACAAUGAAAACCUGGUUUUGUGACAAUUUUGUCCCUUGUUUUAUUUAAAAUUUAAGGCUUCUAUUCGGCCUGUUGCCAAGGGAAAAAAGUUUAUUUUUUUCCAAAUGGGACCUAAAAAUUCCCUUUUGAAGGUUAAAAAAAGAAUAUUUUAUUAUAUAUUUUUGGAGCCCAACAUUUAGAUCAUCUCCCAUCUAGCUCUAUAAGGGAAUAAAUAAAAAAUAACAUUUAUUCUCAAUUUUCAAGUAUUUCUGAGAGAAAAGUCAAAUAUACCAAUUCCGAAAUUUUAUUCCAAACUACGUGGUUUAUCCCAAUUCAAAUGGCCCAUUCCCAAAAUCCAUGAAGUUCAUACUGUAUGAGCAAUCUGUAUUAAAAGCCUAUCCAUGUAUAUCCAUGUAGACAGUGUAGUGUGCCUGGUUCGCCCAGGUACUCGAGCUGUCGUGUGGCGUAUGGGAGCUGAAUGUCCUGCUGGACUGGAGGUAUAUUCCCGUUCCACAUCAUGGUACAUCAACUGGACCCCCUGUGGGUUCAGGCCGUGUAUAUUCCAGAACCUUCCUAGAGCUGCUAGUACAGCUUAAACUAAGGAGACUAGCCAUACAUGGAACACUUGCUUUCAUUGUCGGUAUUGUAAAGGGCUAAUUUGCAUAAAAUAAAUUUAAAAUGUGGCAUUUUGCGCCUCCCAAAUAAGGCAAAAGGCAGUUUUUCCCCCACAAGCUGAGUGCAAUGUGUUUGAAAGAGUUGAAAAUCUGCUGGCUUAUAAGAGUAUAUAUUAUUCCUUUCUUCUAUUUGACAUUCUUUAUCAAAAGCUGAAGCUGUGGCAGUGUUGAUUUUUAACCAGGUUUUCCGAAGGAAAAAACUGGUUAUUAGAUUGGCGAAUGCGGGCGGGCUGGCUGGCGGGCGGGCGGAACAAGCUUGUCCGGGCCAUAACUAUGUCGUUCAUUGUCAGAUUUUAAAAUCAUUUGGCACAUUUGUUCACCAUCAUUGGACGGUGUGUCGCGCAAAAUAAUUACGUCGAUAUCUCCAAGGUCAAGGUCACACUUUGAGUUCAAAGGUCUAAAAUGGCCAUAAAUGAGCUUGUCCUGGCCAUAACUAUGUCAUUCAUUGUAAGAUUUUAAAAUCAUUUGGCACAUUUGUUCACCAUCAUGGGACGGUGUGUCGCACGAAAGAAUCACGUCAAUAUCUCCAAUGUCAAGGUCGCCACGACUAAAAAUAGAUUUUUUUUAAAAACAAACUUACAAAGGGGGUUAAUUUUGUUUGUUCAUUUCAAAAGUUCAGUUUGAGUUUUCUCCCUUUAUCAGAUUUUUUUUUCACAAUGAAAACCUGGUUUUGUGACAAUUUUGUCCCUUGUUUUAUUUAAAAUUUAAGGCUUCUAUUCGGCCUGUUGCCAAGGGAAAAAAGUUUAUUUUUUUCCAAAUGGGACCUAAAAAUUCCCUUUUGAAGGUUAAAAAAAGAAUAUUUUAUUAUAUAUUUUUGGAGCCCAACAUUUAGAUCAUCUCCCAUCUAGCUCUAUAAGGGAAUAAAUAAAAAAUAACAUUUAUUCUCAAUUUUCAAGUAUUUCUGAGAGAAAAGUCAAAUAUACCAAUUCCGAAAUUUUAUUCCAAACUACGUGGUUUAUCCCAAUUCAAAUGGCCCAUUCCCAAAAUCCAUGAAGUUCAUACUGUAUGAGCAAUCUGUAUUAAAAGCCUAUCCAUGUAUAUCCAUGUAGACAGUGUAGUGUGCCUGGUUCGCCCAGGUACUCGAGCUGUCGUGUGGCGUAUGGGAGCUGAAUGUCCUGCUGGACUGGAGGUAUAUUCCCGUUCCACAUCAUGGUACAUCAACUGGACCCCCUGUGGGUUCAGGCCGUGUAUAUUCCAGAACCUUCCUAGAGCUGCUAGUACAGCUUAAACUAAGGAGACUAGCCAUACAUGGAACACUUGCUUUCAUUGUCGGUAUUGUAAAGGGCUAAUUUGCAUAAAAUAAUAUUUCAAAUGUGGCCUUUUGCGCCCCCAAAUAUGUUGAAAGUCAUGGUUUUUUCUCCGUAAGCUGAGUGCAAUGGGUUUUAGAGAGAUGAAGAUUUGCUGGCUUAUAAAAGUAUAUAAUUUUCCUUUCAUCUAUUUAACAUUCUUUAUCAAAAGCUGAACUUUUGGCAGUAUAGAUGUUUUUCUUUAAAAUGUAAGGGCCCUAUUCGGCCCUGUUCCCAUAUACUUUUCCCAAAUUGGACCUAAUAAUUCCAAUUUGAAGGUUAAAAAAACUAAUAUUUUAUUAUUUUUUUUUUUAGAUUCCAACAUUUAGAAAAUCUCCCAUCUAACUCUAUAAGUAAAUAUAUUAUAAAAUAAAAGUACAUUUAUUCUCAAUUUUAAAGUAUUUCUUAGAGAAAAAUCAAAUAUACCUACAUAUAUUCCUUAAUACUAACUAUGCGGUUUAUCUCAAUUCAUAGGGGCCCAUUCCCAAAAUCCAUGAAGUUCAUACUGUAUAAAUAAUCCUUGUAUUACAACAAUACAAGACUAUCCAUGUAGACAGUGUAGUGUGCCUGGUUCGCCCAGGUACUCUCGCUGUCGUGUGGCGUAUGGGAGCUGAAUGUCCUGCUGGACUGGAGGUAUAUUCCCGUUCCACAUCAUGGUACAUCAACUGGACCCCCUGUGGGUUCAGGCCGUGUAUAUUCCAGAACCUUCCUAGAGCUGCUAGUACAGCUAGAACUGGGGAGAUAAGCCAUACAUGGAACACUUGCUUUCCUUGUCUGUAUUGUAAAGGGCUUAUUUGCAUAAAAUAAUAUUUCAAAUAUGGCCUUUUUGCACCUCAUAAAGUAUGUUGAAAUUCUUCUUCCCACUCCCCCCCCCCCCCCCCCCCCCCAAUUUUUUUUUUUUUAAAUGAGUGCAAUGCCAGGGAUGGUUUUAAAAAGCUGAAUUGUUGGGAAUCGACUAUUUGCAUGAGGGAUUUUCUUGCCAUUUAGGGUUUAUAUUAUUCCUUUGAUCUGUUUCACAAGCUUCAGCAUACGCUUUUACAGUGUUUAAACAUGCAUGAAAACGAUACUUUUGGCCCUGGUCCCAUUCCAAAAAUGGUAAAAAAUAAACGGUGUUGCCAAUACUAAUUGUUGAGAAGCAAAUGAUGAUUUGACCAAAUCAAACUAGAGUCUCAGAAUACACUGUUGAGACAUGUCAGAUCUGAAGCAUUAAACAGUCAAUAUUGGUUACACGUUUGAAAAUUGAAAACACUUUAAUUCUCAUUUUUGAAGCAUUUGAUAGCAAAACAGCAACAACACUCAUUCCAAUUUAACUAUCAAGGCACUGAGGUGUUCAUUGUUGUAAAAUGUCGUCCUUGAUUAGCUUGUGCACAUUGCACAGGCAAAUCCGUAUGCACAGGCUAAUCUUAUUUGACAUGCAUUAAGCCCCAUUUUCCCUGAAAGCAGCCAAUAUGUACAGAUUUCAAUGAUAAACACUAGACUGGCCAAUCUCGUCUUACAAGUGUUAAACACUAUUAGUAAUGUAAACCCUCUGCAGUGUACCAGUGGUGAACUGUAACCAGUAAAAUGUGGAGGUUAUCUUUCCAUUUGUCGUCUGCUGCAACAGGCAGCGGUUGUCUUUCCAUACCUUACCUAAGGCUUCUAAUCACAUACUGAUUUGCAAAAUAUGGUUUGUAAUAUUAGUGUGAGCGUUAUGCCGCACUGUUUCCCUAUCCAAAGGGACCUAGACCCAAUACAAAAUGGCGAAAAAAAACACACUUGUGUCUCAAAAAGUCUGAGGCCAAAAUAAAGCUAAAUAACUGUUGUUUCUAGUACAGAAAUACUGUUUCUAAAGCAAAUGAUGAUAUGACCAAAUCAAACUAAAGUCUCUGAAUGCACUGUUGAGACAUGUCAGGUCUGAAGCUUUAAGAAGUCUAUAUUGGUUACUAACUGACACAUAAUGGCUAGACUGAAAUGGCACCUAUUACAAGACAAAUGAACUUCUGGGGUAUGUUAAAAUUGUACAUAUACCAGCUUAAUAUAUUACCUUCACAAAAUUUGGCUUUGAAGUUAUUAUCUUGAAGUCAUUGAUUAUUUUUAUGUCUCAUAGUCAUAUGACAGGCUUAUCAGGGACGACAAUUUCUGCCUAGACUGGAUUAAAUCCGAUUUCAUUCAGACAAUAUGCACAUGCAUUAAGCCCAGUUUUUCUCAAAAUGCUGCUUAAUAGAUCUCGCUGAAGUUUAAGCAACUACUGUGGUAUUGUCAGUGUUACAUGUACACAGAUAGAACAAGCCAGUUUUUGUACUGUAUUGGUAUUGUCACAACAUUUGAUGCAAUCGUAUGUCAAUCAAGACGGACUUUGAUGAUGUACAGCAUUGGAUGCAAAAUUACGCAGGUCAAGAUUGAGCAGGUGUGGGUUGAACUCAGUGGUUGAUGUUGUU
This is a long non-coding RNA of Dreissena polymorpha, 7746 nucleotides long. RefSeq lists it as uncharacterized. The record is from RefSeq and is a predicted model, not a curated record. The transcript has 3 exons. NCBI's taxonomy places the organism in Eukaryota, Metazoa, Mollusca, Bivalvia, Myida, Dreissenidae.